This 485-nucleotide ribosomal RNA is filed under the name uncultured bacterium. RNAcentral describes it as "partial 16S ribosomal RNA". It matches the Rfam family "Bacterial small subunit ribosomal RNA", at positions 30 to 508 of the family's 1533-position model. The record is from RNAcentral.
AUUGAACGCUGGCGGCAGGCCUAACACAUGCAAGUCGAGCGGAUGAAGGGAGCUUGCUCCUGGAUUCAGCGGCGGACGGGUGAGUAAUGCCUAGGAAUCUGCCUGGUAGUGGGGGAUAACGUCCGGAAACGGGCGCUAAUACCGCAUACGUCCUGAGGGAGAAAGUGGGGGAUCUUCGGACCUCCCCCUAUCAGUUGAGCCUAGUUUGGUUUAGCUAGUUGGUGGGGUAAGGGCCUCCCAAGGGGACGAUCCUGAACUGGUCUGAGAGGAUGAUCAGUCACACUGGAAAUGAGACACGGUCCAGACUCCUAAGGGAGGCAGCAGUGGGGAAUAUUGGACAAUGGGCGAAAGCCUGAUCCAGCCAUGCCGCGUGGGUGAAGAAGGUCUUCGGAUUGUAAAGCACUUUAAGUUGGGAGGAAGGGCAGUAAGUUAAUACCUUGCUGUUUUGACGUUACCAACAGAAUAAGCACCGGCUAACUUCGUGC